GACGAACGCUGGCGGCGGGCUUAACACAUGCAAGUCGAACGGUGACCCUUUUCGGAGGUGCUCAGUGGCGCACGGGUGAGUAACACGUGGGCAAACUGCCCCCGGCCCUGGGAUAACUCCAAGAAAAUGGGGCUAAUACCGGAUGUACACCGCUUCCCGCAUGUGAGUAGGUGGGAAGGGUUUCCGGCUGGGGAUGGGCCCGCGGCCUGUCAGCGUGUUGGUGGGGUAGUGGCCUACCAAGGCGACGACGGGGAGGCGGCCUGAGAGGGGUACUGGCCACACUGGGACUGAGACACGGACGCGACUGCGACGAGAGGCAGCAGUGGGGAAUAUUGCGCAAUGGGCGGAAGCCUGACGCAGCGACGCCGCGUGGGGGAUGACGGCCUUCGGGGUGUAAACCUCUUUCAGCAGGGACGAAGCGAAAGUGACGGUACCUGCAGAAGAAGCACCGGCCAACUACGUG
Molecule: ribosomal RNA, 463 nt
Filed under: uncultured bacterium
Lineage: Bacteria
Description: partial 16S ribosomal RNA
Rfam family: Bacterial small subunit ribosomal RNA
Source: RNAcentral